This 402-nucleotide ribosomal RNA is filed under the name uncultured bacterium. RNAcentral's name for it is "bacterial SSU rRNA". It matches the Rfam family "Bacterial small subunit ribosomal RNA", at positions 28 to 426 of the family's 1533-position model. The record is from RNAcentral.
GACGAACGCUGGCGGCGUGCUUAACACAUGCAAGUCGAGCGGUAAGGCCCUUUCGGGGUACGACGAGCGGCGAACGGGUGAGUAACACGUGGGUGACCUGCCUUUAGUCUCUGGGAGUAAGCCUGGGAAACGUGGGUCUAAUACCGGAUACGACUCCGCGGUGCAUGCUGUGGGGUGGAAAGCCUUGUGCGGCUGGAGAUGGGCCCGCGGCCUAUCAGCUUGUUGGUGGGGUGAUGGCCUACCAAGGCGACGACGGGUAGCCGGCCUGAGAGGGCGACCGGCCACACUGGGACGUGAGACACGGCCCAGACUCCUACCGGGAGGGCAGCAGUGGGGAAGUCUUGCGCAAUGGGCGAAAGCCUGACGCAGCGACGCCGCGUGAGGGAUGACGGCCUCGGUUGU